This 406-nucleotide ribosomal RNA is filed under the name uncultured bacterium. RNAcentral's name for it is "partial 16S ribosomal RNA". It matches the Rfam family "Bacterial small subunit ribosomal RNA", at positions 30 to 526 of the family's 1533-position model. The record is from RNAcentral.
AUUGAACGCUGGCGGCAGGCCUAACACAUGCAAGUCGAACGAGUGGCGGACGUGUGAGAAAUAUGUGGAAAACUACCUGCGGGAGGGGUAUAAAUACGGGACAGGGACGAUAAUUCCGCAUACUAUCAGAUGUGCACAGAUGGGAUGAGCUUGGAGGUGGGGUAACGGCUCACCAAGGCGACGAUCCCUAGCUGGUCUGAGAGGAGGACCAGCCACACUGGAACUGAGACACGGUCCAGACUCCUACGGGAGGCAGCAGUGGGGAAUAUUGCACAAUGGGCGCAAGCCUGAUGCAGCCAUGCCGCGUGUAUGAAGAAGGCCUUCGGGUUGUAAAGUACUUUCAGCGGGGAGGCGUUACCCGCAGAAGAAGCACCGGCUAACUCCGUGCCAGCAGCCGCGGUAAUUC